Molecule: transfer RNA, 63 nt
Filed under: Neotoma lepida (desert woodrat)
Lineage: Eukaryota; Metazoa; Chordata; Mammalia; Rodentia; Cricetidae
Rfam family: tRNA
About the family: Transfer RNA (tRNA) molecules are approximately 80 nucleotides in length.
Source: Rfam by way of RNAcentral
AGAGAGAUAACUCAGUGGGUAAGAGUGCUUGCUUUGCAAGCAAGAAGAGCAGAUUUUUUUUUA